GACGAACGCUGGCGGCGUGCUUAACACAUGCAAGUCGAACGGAAAGGCCUCUUUCGGGGGGUACUCGAGUUGCGAACGGGUGAGUAACACAUGAGUAACCUGCCCUUGACUUUGGGAUAACUUCAUGAAACUGGGGCUAAUACCGGAUAGGAGCUCCUGCUGCAUGGUGGGGGUUGGAAAGUUUCGGCGGUUGGGGAUGGACUCGCGGCUUAUCCGCUUGUUGGUGGGGUAGUGGCUUACCAAGGCGUUGACGGGUAGCCGGCCUGAGAGGGUGACCGGCCAUAUUGGGACUUAGAUACGGCCCAGACUCCUACGGGAGGCAGCAGUGGGGAAUAUUGCACAAUGGGUGGAAGCCUGAUGCAGCAACGCCGUGUGCGGGAUGACGGCCUUCGGGUUGUAAACCGCUUUCGCUCAUGACGAAGCUUUGUGUGACGGUAGUGGGUAAAGAAGCACCGGCUAACUACGUG
RNAcentral lists this ribosomal RNA (467 nucleotides) under uncultured bacterium. Its description in RNAcentral is "partial 16S ribosomal RNA". It matches the Rfam family "Bacterial small subunit ribosomal RNA", at positions 28 to 507 of the family's 1533-position model. The record is from RNAcentral.